GCGGGGCUGGUGUAGUGGUUGUGAGUUGUUUCAAGUCCACUUUAACCAACGUUUGAACUAAUUCCAGAGCAGAUCACGUGUCGUUCACACCGACAAGGUCGCGAGUUCGAUCCUCGCGCCCCGUA
Molecule: transfer RNA, 125 nt
Filed under: Stachybotrys chlorohalonatus IBT 40285
Lineage: Eukaryota; Fungi; Ascomycota; Sordariomycetes; Hypocreales; Stachybotryaceae
Description: tRNA-Val (CAC) (tRNA-Val-CAC-2-1)
Source: RNAcentral